AUUAUUUUAUUUAUCAAUCUCUCAAACCUAUCUAACCUCUUGGCUCUCUCUAGGUAUCUAACCCUUUUCUCUUGUAGAUGUCUGACACUAAAAGCUCGACGGAGAUGACGACGGGGCUCGACGGCACGAGGGCUUGACAAUCUGUCUCGCUGCUUUCAUCUUUCCAAGUCCGAUGGUGUGCGGGGUCGAGGUUGGGUGAACGGUAGUGCACGAGGUCGGGAUUGUGUUCAUUCAACCCCUCAUUUGCGACAGUGGUACCGAAAUGGUGAAGGUUUCCAUUUCAAAUUUUGGCAUCGUCUGCGGUCACACGGGUUCGGAGGUUGGGAAAUCGAUUGCUUGGGUUCAGAGAUUGGAUUAAGAGAUUGAGUUCAGAGAUUGGGAAUGGUGAAGAGAAUUGGGGAUGUGUCGAAGGAAAUAAAAAGAGUGAGGGCAUAGAUGGAAGAAAACGAAGAACUGGCGAUACUAAUGAGAGGUCUUCGUGGACAAGCGAUUGUAACCUCUUUGGGUCCAGCUUAUAUCAAACUUGGGCAAGCAUUGAGCAUUAGACCUGAUAUACUUUCACCAAGUGCAAUGACUGAGCUUCAAAAACUCUAAUAAGCGAAUGAUCAGAUUCCAUAAAUACCUCGUGCCUGCACCAGACCAUAACCCAGAAAGAUCGAGAGAAUUACAGAAGGAAAAAUAAAAUAGAGAGACAGAAACCUCAAUGUAGAUUAUACAAAAGAAUAUACUAGUACAAGUACUAGUGAAGAAAAGCCAGUUAGUCAGGCUAGGGUUAAAACACAAGAGAAAACCCAUCAGCACUACACAUUUGGGGAUUUAUUCAAUCACACCAUUUAGGGCUGAUUUGCUUUGAACGGCAGCUGCUAGGUGAACGACGCUCGACGACACACAUUUGGGGAUUUUGAUUGGUUUUAAAGCAUUGGAUUGUUAGCUAAUUGCAAGAGGAAAAUAGUUAUAGCGGCAAGAAGGUUCUUGGCAGCUUGGGGAUGUGUAUUGAGGGAGAAUGGAAUCGGUGGACUGCGCAAACGAUUCAAGGAUGAAGUUGUUUAAGUCUUUCAAUCAUAUUUUCUAUGUAUUUUUCCGCAUCUGAGUUAUAAUGAAUUUUAAGAUCUAAGUCAUGUUUUAUUUUAUUUUUAAAACAAUGGGAUUCCAUACCCUACUCUAAAUUUUAUGUUAACCCUUGUUUUACAGUUUUAAUAAAGUUAUGACUAUUUCAUAUGUAUGUUUUCUUAAGAUUAGUAUUUAUGUAUAGUAGUUUAUUAAUGGUCCAAAGUCUAUAAUGGUUGGGUCGUUACAGUUGGUAUCAGAGCAAACAGUUCAUCCGCAUGAAGUUCUCCUCGAUACACACACUCAAAGCUCCGAAUCUGACCGCCAAAAAAUAGUUAUAGCGGCGGGAAUGUUCUUGGCAGCUUGGGGAUGUGUAUUGAGGGAGAAUGGAAUCGGUGGACUGCGCAAACGAUUCGAGGAUGAAGUUGUUUAAGUCUUUCAAUCAUAUUUUCUAUGUAUUUUUCCGCAUCUGAGUUGUAAUGAAUUUUAAGAUCUAAGUCAUGUUUUAUUUUAUUUUUAAAACAAUGGGAUCCCAUACCCUACUCUAAAUUUUAUGUUAACCUUUGUUUUACAGUUUUAAUAAAGUUAUGAUUAUUUCAUA
Humulus lupulus (European hop) is the source of this 1648-nucleotide long non-coding RNA. RefSeq lists it as uncharacterized. The record is from RefSeq and is a predicted model, not a curated record. Lineage: Eukaryota; Viridiplantae; Streptophyta; Magnoliopsida; Rosales; Cannabaceae. The transcript is spliced from 6 exons.